RNAcentral lists this ribosomal RNA (290 nucleotides) under uncultured Geobacillus sp. RNAcentral's name for it is "partial 16S ribosomal RNA". It matches the Rfam family "Bacterial small subunit ribosomal RNA", at positions 1094 to 1382 of the family's 1533-position model. Lineage: Bacteria; Bacillati; Bacillota; Bacilli; Caryophanales; Anoxybacillaceae. The record is from RNAcentral.
GAGCGCAACCCUCGCCUCUAGUUGCCAGCAUUCGGUUGGGGCGACUCUAGAGGGACUGCCGGCGACAAGUCCGGAGGAAGGUGGGGAUGACGUCAAAUCAUCAUGCCCCUUAUGACCUGGGCUACACACGUGCUACAAUGGGCGGUACAAAGGGCUGCGAACCCGCGAGGGGGAGCGAAUCCCAAAAAGCCGCUCUCAGUUCGGAUUGCAGGCUGCAACUCGCCUGCAUGAAGCCGGAAUCGCUAGUAAUCGCGGAUCAGCAUGCCGCGGUGAAUACGUUCCCGGGCCUU